This 944-nucleotide ribosomal RNA is filed under the name oral metagenome. RNAcentral describes it as "bacterial SSU rRNA". It matches the Rfam family "Bacterial small subunit ribosomal RNA", at positions 562 to 1520 of the family's 1533-position model. The record is from RNAcentral.
AAAGGGUGCGUAGGCUGUAUAUUAAGUCAGCGGUGAAAAGUUUCGGCUUAACCGGAAUCGUGCCGUUGAAACUGUUAUACUUGAAUUAGGUUUAGGUAGGCGGAAUGUGUAAUGUAGCGGUGAAAUGCUUAGAUAUUACCCAGAACACCAAUUGCGAAGGCAGCUUACUGUACCUUGAUUGACGCUGAUGCACGAAAGCGUGGGUAUCGAACAGGAUUAGAUACCCUGGUAGUCCACGCCGUAAACGAUGAUCACUGGCUGUGUGCGAUAUAUAGUAUGUGGCUGAGCGAAAGCAUUAAGUGAUCCACCUGGGGAAUACGUUCGCAAGAAUGAAACUCAAAGGAAUUGACGGGGGCCCGCACAAGCGGAGGAACAUGUGGUUUAAUUCGAUGAUACGCGAGGAACCUUACCUGGUCUUAAAUGAUGUUUGCUAUAAUCGGAAACGGUUAUUUCUUCGGACAGAUAUCAAGGUGCUGCAUGGCUGUCGUCAGCUCGUGCCGUGAGGUGUCGGGUUAAGUCCCAUAACGAGCGCAACCCCUAUCAUUAGUUGCUAACAGUUUAAGCUGAGGACUCUAGUGAGACUGCCACCGUAAGGUGUGAGGAAGGUGGGGAUGACGUCAAGUCAGCACGGCCCUUACGACCAGGGCUACACACGUGUUACAAUGGUCGAUACAAUAUGUUGCAAUUCGGUGACGGAGAGCUAAUCAAUAAAGUCGGUCUCAGUUCGGAUCGGAGUCUGCAACUCGGCUCCGUGAAGUUGGAUUCGCUAGUAAUCGCAUAUCAUCAACGAUGCGGUGAAUACGUUCCCGGGCCUUGUACACACCGCCCGUCAAGCCAUGGAAGCUGGGGGUACCUGAAGUUCGUAACCGCGAGGGGCGGCCUAGGGUAAUACUAGUAACUGGGGCUAAGUCGUAACAAGGUAGCCGUACCGGAAGGUGUGGCUG